Mauremys mutica (yellowpond turtle) is the source of this 1439-nucleotide long non-coding RNA. RefSeq lists it as uncharacterized. The transcript is spliced from 2 exons. Lineage: Eukaryota; Metazoa; Chordata; Testudines; Geoemydidae. The record is from RefSeq and is a predicted model, not a curated record.
GUUGGAGGCCAAGCCCUAUCAGAGGGGGUUGGGUAUGGAGGCCGGCAGGGAAUGGUGCGGGAGGCGAGGGGCGCUACUCACUGGAUGUAUGGGCUGCAGCCCUGGCAUGGUCAGGCUCAGCUCUCUAUCCCCCUAGCUUGGUGGGGAGCUGUGCAGAGGAGCACAGUCUUGGUGCUGCCAGAGAGCUAGAAGGGCCUUUUUCUGUGGUUCCCCUAGCUGGACGGGGUGCAUGUGCCUGCUGCAUCAGCUUUAGAUAGGCUGCCCUAGCCCAUCCUCGUGCUUCCCAAGAUGCCUCUUACUGUACCCUCUCAUCCCUGCUGCCCCGGCUUUCUCCAUACCACCCCAUACACUGAGCCAAGGCAGGGACACCUGCUAAACACAAAGGUACUAUAGUUAAGGCAUGUGGCUCCCACAUACAUCUACCUGGAUGGGACUCUUGUCUGUGCAAGCCACAGAAGCUGCUAGUUCUGAAGGCAGCGUUGGUGACUGAGGUGUCAGACACUGAAAAAACACAUAGGGGAAGAACAUGUUGUUUGUAAAUCAAACAUCCCAAAAGGGGCAGUGUUCUCUUUGGACAGCUCUGGGUCACUGGAGACAGUCUAGUCUUACAAAUGAAGGAUUGUCACAAGGAAGACCUUGCAGUCUUAUUUCAUAAUGCUUUGUUGAUUGUAGUAUGUCCUGUUGUCAGAUUCAGAGGCGGAGGAGUUCCUAGGGUGCCAAUAAAGUAUUUCUUUACCUUUUGCCAGGCACAUUUUUGAAGUGAAGUCCCAAGUAUGUGUUGGCAAGGCUAACUCUCUGCGUCAAAUAUUGGCUUCACUGGUAUUUAGCUUGUGAAACCCCACACUCACUUGCCUCUGCGUAUGAAUGGACUUAUCAGAGACAGGGCCCAUUUUCACUUGGAUCAGUGUGCAAGACUCAGUCUGGCACUUCAUGCCUCAAUCACCUGGUGAGAUUCCAGCUUGUCCAUUGGUUAAUCACCUUUUACCAUUCAUUGCUUCAGUAGACUCUUGUUUUAUUUCCCUCUUUUCUCCCCCUCCCCCUGGUAGGAAGAAGCCCUAUUCCCAUGGACUAGUUUUAAAAGUUCAGCACCAACAAAAAUGACAGUCUAGUGGUAUUGCCAUCUGUUGCCUGGCUGAAGGCUGUUUCAGCCUCAAUUUUCGUAGCUUGGAGAUGAUUUUGUGUUGAUCAAAGCAAAAGUGUGCUGAGCUCCAGGGCAAGGAUGGGUUUUUAGGGAAACUAAGAAGCAUAAAUGACCAGAGUCUUCAUCUUGGAAUGGCAGGAAAUUGAUCUUGUGAUCUCUGGGUAAUCUUUUGGAAGGUGAAAAUACUCCAAAGGUCCUACCAAUAUGUUCUUGUUUUCCAGCCCCAAAUACAGCAAGCAGUUAAUACUAUGGGUAUGAGUAAGAAUCACAGCAAUUAAACAUCUAACCUUGUGCUAUU